Molecule: long non-coding RNA, 664 nt
Filed under: Dermacentor andersoni
Lineage: Eukaryota; Metazoa; Arthropoda; Arachnida; Ixodida; Ixodidae
Description: uncharacterized LOC126539821
Source: RNAcentral
UUAGAUGUGCUAGAUAAACUUUCACUAAGAAUUAUCGCUCACUUCAUUUUACCAUAUUAAAAAUGGUGUUUCUUUGACUUACGCAAACGUUGAUAAAACCGGGUUUUGGGCUUGUUUUACAUAUUUUAAAGCUACGUUUGUUCAAUGUCAAUGAGCAAUACAGUUAAACUUUAGGGAAAUAAUUUUUUUUCUUAUAAACGCGCUAUAGUGAAAGAAAAACAGCAUUCACACUUGGUUGCGAUGUAGAAUGCACAUUCCAUCAUGCUUCAGGUAUACACAUGGACAGACAUGGCUGUAUAUACAAAGUUCUGAAAUCUGGAAACGCAUUGUAUACCGUGAGCUGCCAUGCAUGGUGUCCAGAUGGCUUUUUUUACCAGCUUCCAAACUUAACGCCCUGUCUACAGAUUGCUAAUAACUUUGCUGAAAGAAGUUUAAGAUCUCAUAUAACUCAGUGCAUCCGAGGCAUAUGUGUUCAUGGAGAGUGCAGACCUUAUGCUCGUCGAGUCAACUGCAAGGUUCCAAUGACCAGAAAACACUGCUGGGACGAAUACGGGAACUAUUACCUCAUGCGACGUUAGGCUCUUUGGUCAUUACAGCUGUUGAUCGAUUCUUUGGAUUUUUCCUUCAAUAAAUCGAACAGACAAACUGUUCUCAUGUGCCAUAA